AGAUUGAACGCUGGCGGCAGGCCUAACACAUGCAAGUCGAGCGGCAGCACGGGUACUUGUACCUGGUGGCGAGCGGCGGACGGGUGAGUAAUGCCUAGGAAUCUGCCUGGUAGUGGGGGAUAACGCUCGGAAACGGACGCUAAUACCGCAUACGUCCUACGGGAGAAAG
Molecule: ribosomal RNA, 169 nt
Filed under: uncultured soil bacterium
Lineage: Bacteria
Description: partial 16S ribosomal RNA
Rfam family: Bacterial small subunit ribosomal RNA
Source: RNAcentral